AGAGUUUGAUCAUGGCUCAGAUUGAACGCUGGCGGCAGGCCUAACACAUGCAAGUCGAGCGGUAGAGAGAAGCUUGCUUCUCUUGAGAGCGGCGGACGGGUGAGUAAUGCCUAGGAAUCUGCCUGGUGGUGGGGGAUAACGUUCGGAAACGGACGCUAAUACCCCAUACGUCCUACGGGAGAAAGCAGGGGACCUUCGGGCCUUGCGCUAUCAGAUGAGCCUAGGUCGGAUUAGCUAGUUGGUGAGGUAAUGGCUCACCAAGGCGACGAUCCGUAACUGGUCUGAGAGGAUGAUCAGUCACACUGGAACUGAGACACGGUCCAGACUCCUACGGGAGGCAGCAGUGGGGAAUAUUGGACAAUGGGCGAAAGCCUGAUCCAGCCAUGCCGCGUGUGUGAAGAAGGUCUUCGGAUUGUAAAGCACUUUAAGUUGGGAGGAAGGGUUGUAGAUUAAUACUCUGCAAUUUUGACGUUACCGACAGAAUAAGCACCGGCUAACUCUGUGCCAGCAGCCGCGGUAAUACAGAGGGUGCAAGCGUUAAUCGGAAUUACUGGGCGUAAAGCGCGCGUAGGUGGUUUGUUAAGUUGGAUGUGAAAUCCCCGGGCUCAACCUGGGGAACUGCAUUCAAAACUGACUGACUAGAGUAUGGUAGAGGGUGGUGGAAUUUCCU
This 670-nucleotide ribosomal RNA is filed under the name uncultured Pseudomonas sp. Its description in RNAcentral is "bacterial SSU rRNA". It matches the Rfam family "Bacterial small subunit ribosomal RNA", at positions 8 to 672 of the family's 1533-position model. The record is from RNAcentral. Lineage: Bacteria; Pseudomonadati; Pseudomonadota; Gammaproteobacteria; Pseudomonadales; Pseudomonadaceae.